GGGAAACCCCCCAAAAUCAACCUCAAGCCAUUUCUCAUCCUCCUCCCUCUUCCUCUUCAGAGCUCCGUGAGACCCAAACCUCCCGAUAUUUAUCCCAGAAGGUGAAAGAGAGGCCCGAGUUUGGCUAAAAUGCAGCAAUUUCACGAUAGUUUUAUUUAUAAUUUAUUUAUUUCCUCCCCCCCUCCCCCUUUUAUUUAUUUCCAAGGUUGUUCUCAGGCACGGCGAAGAUCAAUUCUCAAGAGAAAAAUAAAAAAAAAAUUGAAAAAAAAAAUUCUAAAUCCUCCCCAGCGACUUUCUCAGGAAUCAGAAGGAGACUUUUAGAUUUCGUAAUAAAAUUAAAAUUUAAAAAAAAAUAAUUAAAAUAAAAUUAAAUCGGGGGAAUUUUCCUCCCUCUUUUUACGUUUUAGAUGUAGAUUAUUUAUUCAAAUCCUUUCAUAGCAAAGGGCAAAUUAUUUAUUGUAUAUUAUUUUCAUAGAGUAAAUAAACGUCUUUAUAAAACCGACAAACUCGUGUUUGCUCCGGAAUUCGUUCCAAAACCCCGCUUUUAUUUUUCUUUUUUUGUUUUCCUCCAUAAAUCAUUCGCUUUUUUUCCUUCUUUGUAAUGAGGUUUAAUCAUCUCCUCGUGCGCCCUGAGAGGAGACAAAAGGAAUUCAGAACAACAAUUCCAGAGGCUCCGGGAAAUGUUUCCUUCGUUCGGUUCUGCUUUCAUUUUUCUCGAGUUUUUUUUUAAAAAAAUUAUAUAUUUAUUGUAUUAAAUCAAAACGGCGACUUAUUUAAAAAAAAUUAUUUAUUUCCCCCUAAUUUUUGCAUUAAAAGGAGGGAAAAAAAUUAAAAUAAACCCCCCCAGAAAAAAAGGGGAUAAAGGGAUGGAAAAGCAACACAAAGGCAGCGCGGAACCCACGCGAAUUCCCGGCCUCCCACAUCCCGCCCUUCAUCCCCAUCCUCCUCCUCCUCCUCCUCUUUUUUUUCCCUCUCGCAGCUCCCGGGGUUCGAAACGUCCCGAGAUGCGGAAAAAACGAGGAAAAAAAAUGAGGAUUUUGAGGGAAAUCUCCAAAAAAAUCCAGGCGGGGAGGGCCCGAAUAAAAAAGGAGGAGGAGGAGGAGGAGGAGGGGGAAGAGCUGGGCCUGAGAGGGCUCAAAUAAAGAAUAAAUUUCUUUAUUCCUCCUCUCUUUUCCAGCCCCACAAACCCCGAAACCCCCGGGAGCCGCCGUCUCCUGCAGGAUUUCUGCCGAUCCCUUGGGAAUUUGAACCCCAAAAUUCCUCCCGGGGGGUUCGGGGGAGGUUUCUGCUCCAGGAGGGGGCUCGGUCACCCCCAAAUCAAUCACCCCGAUCAAUCAGCGGCUGCCGGCCCCGAUCAAUCACCCCGAUCAAUCAGCGGAUUUGGGGAUUUUGGGAGGCUCUUUUCCCACGGAGCGAGCGAUCCCAAACCUCGCUCCGGGGGGGAAAAAAUCCACAAACCCAGACGAAACGUUGGAUCGGGAUUAAAUAUUCACGGCAUCGCCUCUGAAACCUCUUCCCGUGGAGAAAAGGCAGCGGUGGCGCUGCUGGAGCCGAGCUCGGAUCCGCACGGAGCCAUCGGCGCCCCCCUGCCCUCCUCGAGCCGCCCCCGAGCCGCCGCUUUUGGGGGAAAAGGGAGGAAAUUCAUUAUUUUGGAGUUUAUUUCGUCUCCCCGGCUGCUGCAGACCUUGUCUGUCAAAGCGCCAUUUGUUCCUGCUCCUCCUCCUC
Molecule: long non-coding RNA, 1725 nt
Filed under: Parus major (Great Tit)
Lineage: Eukaryota; Metazoa; Chordata; Aves; Passeriformes; Paridae
Description: lncRNA (ENSPMJG00000001433.1)
Source: RNAcentral